CAUGAACUGUUCAUGUUUCAGCUCUGCUUUGUUUAUCAUUUGGGUUCUUUCUUUCUUUAUCAGCUUGUCUGGUAAAUAUUUAAAUAUUCAGCAGAUUUAUUUUUCGAACCCGUGAAUGUGCCCUUUCAUGACCGCGAUACUUGUGGGGUUAGGAGUUUUGGCCUGUUACCUGCUCUACAAACUCAUCAUGGAUCGUGCUGCUCAACGAAAAUUGAAUCGACGGGGCUCUGAUUCUCAUCCGAAAAAAUACUGUCGAACCCGUCCUCAUUCGUCUCAAGCUCCGAAUCCAUCUCUAAAUAAUGUUUCAGAUGGGUAAUACAUACCACAGACCUAAAGCCUUGAUGAGAAAUGUUGAAAUCAAAUACCUGGACAAGGUCAAUCUCAAAACUCGUGCAUGGUACGAAAGUAUUGACUAUGUGUAUGUAAUGUAUAUUUAAUUGCUACAGAAAAAAUUUUAUAAAAUUUAAUGGUAAACGCACAUGGUUGUAAAUAUGGUUGUAUUUAUUUAUAAGACUGCUUUCGAGUCAAGGUGAGAUUUAGGUCACAUUAAGAUUAACACAUUUAAAUAACUUUUGACAGGAAAUAAAAUGUUUAGCCACAAUACCCAUGAAA
This is a long non-coding RNA of Folsomia candida, 612 nucleotides long. RefSeq lists it as uncharacterized. The record is from RefSeq and is a predicted model, not a curated record. Lineage: Eukaryota; Metazoa; Arthropoda; Collembola; Entomobryomorpha; Isotomidae. The transcript has 3 exons.